RNAcentral lists this transfer RNA (72 nucleotides) under Ovis aries (sheep). It matches the Rfam family "tRNA". Rfam says of the family: Transfer RNA (tRNA) molecules are approximately 80 nucleotides in length. Their secondary structure includes four short double-helical elements and three loops (D, anti-codon, and T loops). Lineage: Eukaryota; Metazoa; Chordata; Mammalia; Artiodactyla; Bovidae. The record is from Rfam by way of RNAcentral.
UCUCUGGAGGUCGAGUGGUUAGGACUCAGCAUUUUCACUGCUAUGGCCCAAGUUCAAUGCUUGGUCAGGGAA